GACAUUCUGUCCUUUGCUUACUCUGGAAACAAAUUCAACCAACUUGUGAAAGAAAGAGAUAGUAGUAAAACUUUCCAAAAAUACACACACUGAACAAACUGUGAAAGUCAGGAGACAAGAGGGCAACUUCAAAAUGAGUGCCUUGUUUCUUGUGUCGUAACUCCAAACUUCUGAUUUCAGAAAUGCAUGACCAGAAAAAUAAAAGGUCCAUGAUAAAUUCACGGCUGAAAUAGCCACAUUUACAGCUAGUAAAACAAACAAACAAACAAACAAACAAACAGAGAAAAGAAGAAAGAAAGAGAAUUCCUCUAAUAAAACUACUAAAGAUCACAUUUCCAUAAGAAUAAGCUCAAUUUGAACUGUUCAUAGAAAAAGAGAUCGUUAAUUCCCAUGUGUUACAAAAGGGCUUAAAGAGUUAAAUCACAGAAUAUGAAAACCUGUGUUUAAAUAAUUUAUAGGCAAUGACACAGGCUGAGGAGGGAAAUAAAAUUAAUAAGUGAUAGGAAUGAGGGGCUGUCAACACCAACUCCAGAUUUCAUGCUCCUUGGCUUGAUCCUGUAUUUUAUUUAACACAGAUUUCUGCAUAUGAAUAAUUGGACUCUUCUUGUGAGGUCUAGUACUUUAAAAUCUAAGACUAAAGAACCUUGGGCUGUUAGGGUAUCUGAGAGAUAUAAUACAGGGCCGUGAGCUGGUGGCCUUGCUGGGGGUGGGCAGUUUGCAAGUAUGACCCUUGUUUACAGCUGCAACUUGCAUGACAGUCUAAGCAGUGUUGCUUCCAAUUGUCCCAAAGGGUGAUCCUCUGCACAAUGAUCUUUUUAGAUGUAGCAAAAUUCAAUCUCAGACUGCUUACAAGGAUGCUUUCCAUUUGCAUUUACUUUGGCUUUAUUUUAUUGUAAUUUUGCCUCACCAGGUACUGAGCCAAAUCAAACAAGGGGAAACUUUUGAAAUACUCUAUUCCAGCUUCCGCUUGAUGUUGUUUUCUACUCUGCUGUUUUGAAAUGGGAGCCAGCAGGUAAAUGGGUUGUGUUGUCUCAUAAGGGGCUGCCUCAGGCAAAAUAUUCCCAUUAAGUAGGACAUUCCAGGUAUUGUGGGGUAUGAAGGUUAUACCAUUUGGAAAGCUCUUUUUUUUAAAAAAAAAAAAAAAGAGCAUAAAAUUAUGAAUUGAAAACUAAAUAGAGAGCUUGGAAGAAGACUCUUGAGAAUGAAAGGGUCUGAAACAAGCUUCAAUAACUUCACAGUGAAUAUACCUGCUAUCAAUGCCCUCCUUAAUAGCACCUCAAGGGUGGGAAGAGCCAGGUCUUGGGGAAAGCUGGCACUUCCUUCUGCCUACGUAGUGGAGCUGUACCUUUUCUUAUUGGUUUCGAUAAGAGAAGAGAGUGCUUUGGGAGCUAAAAAUGUAGUCUGAAUAUUCAAAAUAAUAACAUCAAAGGGAAGUCUCCUCAAGGUUUUAUUGUCUUAGCAAGGUGACUAUGCAUGUGCAGAGACAAGAUAUGAGGGAAUUAAUGAAUCCAUUAAUUUAGAGAAGCAUAAGGUCUCUAAAAGAAAGGAGAGCUUGGGGUUUUUCUAAAAAUAAUUUCAAGUUUGCAAAAAACAGGUGAAAAACUAGUUCAGGGACACCUGGGUAACUCAGGGGUUAAGCAUAUGCCUUUGGCUCAGAGCAGGAUCCCAGGUCUGGGGAUCAAGUCCUGCAUAGGCUCCCUGAGAGGAGCCUGCUUCUCUCUCUGCCUGUCUCUAACUCUCUCUGUGUGUCUCUCAUGAACAAAUAAAUAAAAUCUUAAAAAAAAAAAAAAACUAGUUCAAAGAGUUUGCAUAUACUUUUCACCCAGCUUUUCCAGAUGUUGACAUCUUAUGCAACCAUAUACCAACUCCAGGAAAUUAACAUUGAUGCUAUACUAUUAACUAAUAAACAGACUAUGCAGUUUGUGCCAAUUAUCACAGGUAUGUCCUUUUGCUAGACCAGAAUCUAGUUCAAGAACCCAUACUGCAUUUAGUUGUCACGCCUCCUUAGUCUCCUGUAGUUUGUGACAUUUCCUCAAUUUUCCUUUGUCUUUCAUGACCUUGUUAUUGGAGAGUACUAACUAGUUAUUUUGUAGAAUGGCUCUCAAUUUGGGUGUAUUGAUGUCUUCUCAUGAUUAAUUCAGGAUGUGCAUUUUCGGGACGGAUAUCAUAGAAGUGAUGUUCUCUUUUCUCCUGCAUCGUAUUCAAGAAGUAUAUGAUAUUGAUGUGUCCCAUUACUGCUGAUACUAACUUUGAUCAUUUGGUUAAAGCGAUAGAUGCUAGGUUUCUCCAAUAUACAAUUACUAUUUUCGCUUUUUAACCUAUACAUUCCUUGUGGGGACUAUUAUUAAUAAAUUUUGGGACCAUGCAAAUAUACUUCCUCUUUUUUUAAGAUUAUUUAUUUAUUUAUUCAUGACAGACAGAGAGAAAGGCAGAGGGAGAAGCAGGUUCCACACAAAGAACCCGAUAUGGUACUCGAUCCCAGGACAACGGGAUCACACCCUGAGCCAAAGGCUGACACUCAACUGCUGAGCCACCCAGGUGUCCCAAAUAUACGGUUUCUUAUCAUACUUUCACCCACUAAUUUUAGUACCUUGAUGAUUCUUGCCUCUGACAAUUACUGCUGUGCUGUUUGCUAAAUGCUGAUUUUUCUAUUUCCAUUAUUCUUUCUACACUUACUCAUUUGCAUGGUACUGUAAGAAGGAAUUGUCCCUUCUAGAAUAGGGACUUUCAAAAGAAAAAAAUUCUAAAAAUUGAAUUGCUCUUAAAUCAACACAGUUGCUUUAAGUAUAAAAUAGCACCUCUCUGGGUUAACAGAUUUUUUGAUGAUGCGAAAAUUCUGAACCCUUCUCUUUCAACAUUCUGGUGGCAUUUCAAGAUUCUUCAGGAACUCCACUGCAGUAAAGAAGAGAGCACAAUGAAUGGCAGGUCAGAGAAAAACCAUCAGUUCCUCUUUCCAACUAUGGCUUAUAAUGAGAGAACUUUGAAACAAACGGAUAGCUUUUCUUACAAAUGUCUAUUAUGCAAACUUAGCCAAUAUGUACCAUUUAUGUCUUUUUUUCUGGUCCAGGAUUAAAUUCAGCAACCCGCACUGCAUUUAGUUGUCAUGCCUAGGUUGAUCUGACCCAUUGAAAGGAUCAGUAUGAUACACCUGCCCUGACAAAAGAACCGAUAGGAUGGCCAUUCCUGACACUGCCUAUCUGCUAAUCAGCUCUCCCUGCACUUGUGACCUCCAUGU
Molecule: long non-coding RNA, 3235 nt
Filed under: Canis lupus familiaris (dog)
Lineage: Eukaryota; Metazoa; Chordata; Mammalia; Carnivora; Canidae
Description: lncRNA (ENSCAFG00845023812.1)
Source: RNAcentral